RNAcentral lists this long non-coding RNA (1425 nucleotides) under Marmota monax (woodchuck). Lineage: Eukaryota; Metazoa; Chordata; Mammalia; Rodentia; Sciuridae. The record is from RNAcentral.
CGUUCAGUUCAGCAUGUUCCGCUGCUCUGUAGUCACGCCCAUCCCCAGCACUUCUUUCCAGACGGAAGCUCGGUUCCCCCGUGUUCCUCCGUUGGAGUGGGAGGGCUCCAGGGGCUUCCUGGGGUGCAGUCAUGCUGUGGCUGCCCUUCGUGUCUGCCUAGUUCUACGUGGCACAGUGGGCUCCGGGUUCAUCCCCCCACACACAGGGCUUACUCUGUUGCUCAGGCCCAUCUUGCACCUCUGGGCUCUAGCGUCCCACCCGAGUAUCUAUGGGUGUCCACCACAGCUGGCAGAAUGUUCUUCUUUUGGAAGAUGAGUCGUAUUCAGCUAUAUGAGUAGAUCGCACUUGGUUCACCUGUUCAUCCUUCAGUGGGCCCUUAGCUUGCUUUCAGCUUCUGGCCCCUGUGAACAUGGGUGGACAGACAGCUAUCUCUUUGAGAACCCACUUUGGAUUCUUAGGGGUAUGUUCCCAGAGGUGGGAUUAUUGGGCCAUAUGAUGAUGCUAAGUUUUUUGAGAAACUGCCAACCUGUUUCCUAGAGAGCCCUCGUCUGUUUUGGCUACCAUUAUAAAGUGCUGCAGCCAGGGUGUGGGGUCUGUCAAACAGUAGUUUUUUGUCUGGACGUUCUUGAGGCCAAAUCUCCAGAUGUGCCACAGGUCUAGUUUCUGGUGAGGCCGUCUGUCUUCUCCGUGUCCUCGAAUGGUCAUUACUCUAUGUAUGUGUGUCCUAAUCUUUUCUUAUGAGGACACCAAUCCUGUAGGAUUAAGGUCCCGGCAGUGACCACAUUUAACCUAACCAUGUCCUUUAGGGCCUCAUUUCGAAGUCACACUGAGGUCAAGGACUGCGGUGGCCUGAAUGCCUAUUCAGCUGCUACAGCUCAAGAGUAACUUCCUGCAGGCUAGAAGUCCAAGGUCUAGGCAGGGCAGGUUACAGUGAGGGCUGCUGCCUGGAGGGGCAGGGACCUCCUGGGGUCCUUUUAUAAGGACUCAUCCCAUCAGGAGGCUCCCCUCAUGACCUCAUCAUGUCCCAGAGGUCCUACCUCCUGACACCAUGGCCUGGGAGAGGAUUUCAACCUAGGUGUGGAGAGGUGAGAAUGUUCAGUAUCCUGUGUUGAUACACUCCCAGCUCACGGACACCAAAGGAGUGACAAAAGGAACAGUCAUGUGGCUGUCCCCUCUGUUCCUGAUGGCCCACUUCUUACUGCCUCUUCCUUCUCCACAGUCUCUCACAUUUUGCUCUUUUGUUUGCUGGGCCCUGGGGAUGUUGGCUGAAGGCAUAGGACUCACCAUCUCCAUGUGUCUCCCAAGGACAAAGACAAGUGCCUAUACCUCUAGCCUCUGAGCAGCGACAUUGUGGCAUGACAGACACCACCUGCCUCUCAGCUACCAUCAUGCCCCCACUGGUCUCCUUCUAGCCAGUGUCACAC